GUGGACCGUGGGGCUUGGCUCUGGGCUCCAGCGCUGGGCUGGCAGUGUGCUGAGGAGGGUGGGCCUCAUGCUCCCGGCACAGAUGCACUAGGCUCUGCAGGGCUUUUGGCAAAAGGCACCCCACCACUCCAGAGGACCUGCCAGAAAAGCCACGUGAUCCAAGUCAGGCAUUGUGACUACAGGGCCAAUGGUGGGGCUUGCAGGAUGGAGCAGAGCCUUUCAGUUCCAAAGCAUAGUAGUUCAUGCCAGGUCCCCAGGAAGCACAUAAAGCACACAUAUGAC
RNAcentral lists this long non-coding RNA (282 nucleotides) under Marmota monax (woodchuck). Lineage: Eukaryota; Metazoa; Chordata; Mammalia; Rodentia; Sciuridae. The record is from RNAcentral.